AAUGCAAAUGGGUGAGAUCAUUGUUUUUAGUUUCAUUGAACUAUUUGAAUGAUUGAAUAUAUAAAAGGGCAUCAGACACCCUGGUGUUUAGAGUUCCUGAGACCUCAUCUUCUGCGCUAAUCACCAUGUUCUUUGAGAAAACAGUGUGCCUCGUCGCCAUCAUCGUUAUGCUUGUCACAAUGGUUGAGCCAAUUCCACUUGGGCUAAAGAAAUGGAACCCCAUCCCCCCCUGGCAUGUCGACGAGGACAAGAUGUAGAGCCACCAGGCAUCCAUUGAAGCCUUUUAAUCACUACAAACAUUGUGUAGUCAAAUUAAAUAAAACAGUCCUGCAUAUCUAUCUAUUACUUGUGCCUUGUGUCACCUGUCCUGCUCUGUCAUUUAACAAGGAUUUGUCAGCCCACCACAAAGACUCUCUCUGUUUCAUUCAUUUUUAACAUCUGACUGCAAAUAAUCAAGCAAGAUCUUUGCUGUACAUCUAAGUACCCAGUGUUCAAGGUGCUUCAAAAUUUGCUGGUGUUCUCUUUCCAAGGCUCUUCUAGAUUUUUCCAAUCAAACUCUUUCAAACUUCACCUUUGGUUUUCUACUUUGGUGUCUCUUGAUGU
This is a long non-coding RNA of Erpetoichthys calabaricus (reedfish), 603 nucleotides long. RefSeq lists it as uncharacterized. Lineage: Eukaryota; Metazoa; Chordata; Cladistia; Polypteriformes; Polypteridae. The record is from RefSeq and is a predicted model, not a curated record. The transcript is spliced from 4 exons.